UAAUGCCUAGGAAUCUGCCUGGUAGUGGGGGACAACGUUUCGAAAGGAACGCUAAUACCGCAUACGUCCUACGGGAGAAAGCAGGGACCUUCGGGCCUUGCGCUAUCAGAUGAGCCUAGGUCGGAUUAGCUAGUUGGUGAGGUAAUGGCUCACCAAGGCGACGAUCCGUAACUGGUCUGAGAGGAUGAUCAGUCACACUGGAACUGAGACACGGUCCAGACUCCUACGGGAGGCAGCAGUA
RNAcentral lists this ribosomal RNA (241 nucleotides) under uncultured Pseudomonas sp. RNAcentral's name for it is "partial 16S ribosomal RNA". It matches the Rfam family "Bacterial small subunit ribosomal RNA", at positions 111 to 355 of the family's 1533-position model. The record is from RNAcentral. Lineage: Bacteria; Pseudomonadati; Pseudomonadota; Gammaproteobacteria; Pseudomonadales; Pseudomonadaceae.